UCGGGAAUUUUGGGCAAUGGGCGAAAGCCUGACCCAGCAACGCCGCGUGAAGGAUGAAGUAUUUCGGUAUGUAAACUUCGUAAGAAUAGGAAGAAUAAAUGACGGUACUAUUUGUAAGGUCCGGCUAACUACGUGCCAGCAGCCGCGGUAAUACGUAGGGACCAAGCGUUGUUCGGAUUUACUGGGCGUAAAGGGCGCGUAGGCGGUUUGUCAAGUCAGUUGUGAAAUCUCCGAGCUUAACUCGGAACGGCCAACUGAUACUGUCACACUAGAGUACAGAAGGGGCAAUCGGAAUUCUUGGUGUAGCGGUGAAAUGCGUAGAUAUCAAGAGGAACACCUGAGGCGAAGGCGGGUUGCUGGGCUGAUACUGACGCUGAGGCGCGAAAGCUAGGGUAGCAAACGGGAUUAGAUACCCAUGUAGUCCUGAGCGGGCUGGCAAGGCGCAU
RNAcentral lists this ribosomal RNA (446 nucleotides) under uncultured bacterium. Its description in RNAcentral is "bacterial SSU rRNA". It matches the Rfam family "Bacterial small subunit ribosomal RNA", at positions 355 to 825 of the family's 1533-position model. The record is from RNAcentral.